AACAGGAUUAGAUACCCUGGUAGUCCACGCCGUAAACGAUGUCGACUUGGAGGUCGUGCCCUUGAGGCGUGGCUUCCGGAGCUAACGCGUUAAGUCGACCGCCUGGGGAGUACGGCCGCAAGGUUAAAACUCAAAUGAAUUGACGGGGGCCCGCACAAGUGGUGGAGCAUGUGGUUUAAUUCGAUGCAACGCGAAGAACCUUACCUACUCUUGACAUCCAGAGAACUUAGCAGAGAUGCUUUGGUGCCUUCGGGAACUCUGAGACAGGUGCUGCAUGGCUGUCGUCAGCUCGUGUUGUGAAAUGUUGGGUUAAGUCCCGCAACGAGCGCAACCCUUAUCCUUUGUUGCCAGCGGUUAGGCCGGGAACUCAAAGGAGACUGCCAGUGGUAAACUGGAGGAAGGUGGGGAUGACGUCAAGUCAUCAUGGCCCUUACGAGUAGGGCUACACACGUGCUACAAUGGCAUAUACAAAGAGAAGCGACCUCGCGAGAGCAAGCGGACCUCAUAAAGUAUGUCGUAGUCCGGAUUGGAGUCUGCAACUCGACUCCAUGAAGUCGGAAUCGCUAGUAAUCGUGGAUCAGAAUGCCACGGUGAAUACGUUCCCGGGCCUUGUACACACCGCCCGUCACACCAUGGGAGUGGGUUGCAAAAGAAGUAGGUAGCUUAACCUUCGGGAGGGCGCUUACCACUUUGUGAUUCAUGACUGGGGUGAAGUCGUAACAAGGUAACC
Molecule: ribosomal RNA, 730 nt
Filed under: uncultured bacterium
Lineage: Bacteria
Description: bacterial SSU rRNA
Rfam family: Bacterial small subunit ribosomal RNA
Source: RNAcentral